UACGUUUAGACCAUUACAGGAUAUAAAUAGCAAAGUCAACUGGAAUUGUAAUUAGAGCUUUGAGUUUUCUUGGGCUAGAGGUUUUUUCUGCCAUUCUGAUGAACCGUAGAGGAAGGGAGCAAGGUCGGCGGGGUUUGGCCGAGGGGCGGGGUGAGGACCGCGCAGGCUCAGCUUCUCAGCUGGAAGAGGAAGUCGCGAGUGCAGGCGUCUGCGGCCCCCAUGGUGACCAGACCGACUUCCGCCCGGCCCGCCCACCUCUACCGGCCCCUAAUCCCGCGAGGCGCACCAUGGCAACCAGACUUCUGCGUCGCGGAAGCGGGUUCCGCAGGUCGCCACCAUUGGGGGAAACGCGGCGGACGCCGCCCCCAUCCCGAAGGGGACUCGAAAAUGUACAGCCAGCGGUUUGGCACCGUACAGCGGGAGGUUAAGGGCCCCACCCCCAAAGUGGUGAUCGUGAGGUCCAAGCCUCCUAAAGGCCAAGGGGCUGAGCACCAUCUAGAAAGAAUCCGACGCAGCCAUCAGAAGCAUAAUGCUAUUUUGGCUUCCAUUAAGUCAAGUGAGCGGGAUCGCUUGAAAGCUGAGUGGGACCAGCACAAUGACUGCAAGUUUUUGGACAGCCUUGUGCGAGCAAGAAUCAAGGAUGCCGUGCAAGGGUUUAUCAUUAACAUUGAAGAAAGACGAAAUAAGCUACGUGAGCUUUUAGCAUUAGAAGAAAAUGAGUAUUUUACAGAAAUGCAAUUGAAGAAAGAAACCAUUGAGGAGAAAAAAGAUAGGAUGAGAGAGAAAACUAAAUUACUAAAAGAGAAGAAUGAAAAAGAGAGGCAGGAUUUUGUGGCUGAAAAGCUAGACCAGCAAUUCAGGGAACGCUGUGAGGAGCUCCGUGUUGAAUUGUUUUGUAUCCAUCAGAAGAAGGUGUGUGAGGAGCGGAAAGCACAGAUUGCAUUUAAUGAGGAGCUGAGGAGGCAAAAGCUGGUGGAAGAGCAGAUGUUCUCCAAGCUCUGGGAGGAAGACCGAUUAGCCAAGGAAAAGCGAGAAGCCCAAGAGGCGAGGAGACAGAAAGAGCUGAUGGAGAACACACGCCUGGGGCUGAAUGCCCAGAUCACCAGCAUCAAGGCACAAAGGCAGGCGACACAGCUGUUGAAGGAAGAGGAGGCGCGCCUUGUGGAAAGUAACAACGCACAGAUUAAACAUGAGAAUGAACAGGAUAUGCUAAAGAAACAGAAGGCAAAACAGGAAACUAGGACCAUUUUGCAAAAAGCCCUACAAGAGAGGAUAGAACAUAUUCAGCAGGAAUACAGAGAUGAACAGGACUUGAACAUGAAGCUCGUGCAAAGGGCCCUUCAAGACUUACAGGAAGAGGCAGAUAAAAAGAAACAAAAAAGAGAAGAUAUGAUAAGAGAACAGAAGAUAUACCAUAAAUAUUUGGCACAGAGACGUGAGGAAGAAAAAGCUCAGGAGAAAGAAUUUGACAGAAUAUUAGAGGAAGACAAGGCAAAGAAAUUGGCUGAGAAGGACAAGGAGCUGAGACUUGAAAAGGAGGCAAGGAGACAGCUUGUGGAUGAGGUCAUGUGUACAAGAAAACUUCAAGUUCAAGAAAAGUUGCAACGAAAAGCUAAAGAACAGGAAGAACAUGCUAUGGAACAGAAACACAUAAAUGAAAGUCUUAAAGAACUUAACUGUGAAGAGAAGGAGAAUUUUGCAAGUUUUUUUCUACCUGACCUGAAGUAUUGAUGUAAGAGCAACAAGUUUCAUUUAACAGCAUGCAGGUGCCUCCUGCCUCAGCAUUAAGCACAUCCACAGCACAUCAGUUUUGCAAGACAACCCCUGCCAAUGAAUUUAGGACCUGUUAUUGGGCCUUGAUGGCCAUGACUUUAGCUGCUCAAGAUUGCUGGACUAAGAUGGUGAUAUUACAAAUGCUGCACUCAAGCAUGGGUAUACCUGCAAACCAAAAGACUGCAUGGGAAACAGAAUGUUCUAGACCAUUCCUCUCUAUAAUGGGAUCGUCAGUGGUGAGGAUGCCAAAUGAUGGAAGGUUGAUUAAAUCCCGUUUCUGUUUCCUUUCUUCUGAUGGCCUUUGAAGGGCCCAACUUAGGAAGGAUCACAAAUUUGGAACUUGGCCAGAGGUUAUAAAGUCUGAGGAGUUAUAUAUAUGUACUCCAGACGCCAACGUUUAGCCCAGGAGUACAGGAAGCAACUUCAGAUGCAAAUCGCCUACCAGCAGCAGUCCCAAGAAGCAGAGAAGGAAGAGAAACGCCGAGAGUUUGAAGCAGGGAUA
Molecule: RNA transcript, 2275 nt
Organism: Pongo pygmaeus (Bornean orangutan)
Lineage: Eukaryota; Metazoa; Chordata; Mammalia; Primates; Hominidae
Gene: CFAP53
Gene name: cilia and flagella associated protein 53
Exons: 9
Source: RefSeq, a predicted model, not a curated record